GAUGAAGAACGCAGCGAAAUGCGAUAAGUAAUGUGAAUUGCAGAAUUCAGUGAAUCAUCGAAUCUUUGAACGCACAUUGCGCCCGCUGGUAUUCCGGCGGGCAUGCCUGUUCGAGCGUCAUUUCAACCCUCAAGCUCUCCGGAGUUUGGUGUUGGGGCGCCUGGGGCUUUUCGACCUUAGGGCCCUCAAGUCCAUCGGCGGGACCGCCAGGACACUGAGCGCAGUAGUAUUAUUUCGCUCGGUAGGAUCUUCCACGGCGGGUCGAUCUGGCCGCUAAACCCCCCAAUUCUCACCAAAGGUUGACCUCGGAUCAGGUAGGAAUACCCGCUGAACUUAAGCAUAUCAAUACGCGGAGGA
Molecule: unclassified non-coding RNA, 357 nt
Filed under: soil metagenome
Description: partial contains 5.8S ribosomal RNA, internal transcribed spacer 2, and large subunit ribosomal RNA
Rfam family: 5.8S ribosomal RNA (bases 1-120)
Source: RNAcentral